CGGGAAACCUCGAUGAACAAACACCGGGAGAGUGCAUUCCCAGGGGAGUUCCAGGAGGCCCAUGGCCCCUCCUGUACAGCCCUCCACCGCCCAGAGCCUUCCAGCGCCGUGUCUUCCCCUUGGAGCAUCUGGAGGCCCCAGACAGCACCCGCCUGACGUUCAGCAGAGGGGGAGACCGAGGCCUGCAGCAGAGUGUUUUGUCAGAUGCUGCUCCCUGACCGGGAGUGAGAGGGAACCCACCUAGAGGUGCCAGAUGGGGUGCCAGGGCAGCGUGGCCUGCAGGCCCCUCAGCUCCUCACAGCCCCUGCCCCCAGCCUUCCUGGGCCCAGAGAUCCCCUUGUUUACCCUAGUCCAGGGACAGAGGCUCAGAUGUCAUGCUUGACCCCACAGGUACAGGGUUAGGGGUGAAGGUGGCUGUCUCUUCAUGUCUUCACCAUGGCUUCUCUGCCUUCCUCCUGCUCCUGGUGGCUUAUGUCCUGCCGCUCUUGAUACGCGACUGUGGUCUGUCCUGGGAUGGUUAUGAUGCAUAUGUGCUAUUGUUG
RNAcentral lists this long non-coding RNA (542 nucleotides) under Homo sapiens (human). RNAcentral's name for it is "non-protein coding LINC00313:11". Lineage: Eukaryota; Metazoa; Chordata; Mammalia; Primates; Hominidae. The record is from RNAcentral.